Molecule: long non-coding RNA, 256 nt
Filed under: Lathyrus oleraceus (garden pea)
Lineage: Eukaryota; Viridiplantae; Streptophyta; Magnoliopsida; Fabales; Fabaceae
Description: Pisum sativum (pea) long non-coding RNA (PSAT_LNC023829)
Source: RNAcentral
UAAAAAAGAAGAUGCUAGGUUGAAUAUAAAAUACCCAAAAGAAAAUGUUGUAAUUGAACCAAAAGAAUUAAAGAAAAGAGAGAGAAAAUAGUUGAAGAAGAAAAUAUGAUGAAGAAGAAACUAAUGUCGAAAUUAUGCAGAUACAAGGAAAAGAAGCUAAUGCAGAUGAAAAGACUUGAAUAAUUCUAGUAACACUAGAGAAACUAAUUAUAAACAGGACACUAAGUAGAGAAGAUCCACUUAUGUUAGGAUUAGG